This 359-nucleotide unclassified non-coding RNA is filed under the name uncultured Sordariomycetes. Its description in RNAcentral is "sequence contains ITS2". The stretch from base 1 to 154 matches the Rfam family "5.8S ribosomal RNA". The record is from RNAcentral. Lineage: Eukaryota; Fungi; Ascomycota; Sordariomycetes.
AACUUUUGGCAACGGAUCUCUUGGUUCUGGCAUCGAUGAAGAACGCAGCCAAAUGCGAUAAAUAAUGUGAAUUGCAGACUUCCGUGAAUCAUCGAAUCUUUGAACGCAUAUUGCGCCUAUUAGUAUUCUAGUAGGCAUGCCUAUUCGAGCGUCGUCUCUCCACUCAAGCCUCAAGUAGGCUGGUGUUAGAGAUCUGCCUUGGCUGGUCUCCGAAAUAUAGUGGCCGCAAAUACAGCCCCUUUCUACGCAGUAAAUCUUCCUCGUUUAAAGACUGGACGUGUGUGCCUCGCUACAUGUUAUUUGACCUCGAAUUAGGUAGGAAUACCCGCUGAACUUAAGCAUAUCAAUAAGCGGAGGCU